GGCCUAACACAUGCAAGUCGAACGGAGUCCUUUCGGGGACUUAGUGGGGGACGGGUGAGUAACGCGUGAGAAUCUGCCUUCAGGACGGGGACAACAGUUAGAAAUGACUGCUAAAACCCGAUGUGCCUUUAGGGGUGAAAUAUUUAUAGCCUGAAGAGGAGCUCGCGUCCGAUUAGCUAGUUGGGGGGGUAAAAGCUUACCAAGGCAGCGAUCGGUAGCUGGUCUGAGAGGAUGAGCAGCCACACUGGGACUGAGACACGGCCCAGACUCCUACGGGAGGCAGCAGUGGGGAAUUUUCCGCAAUGGGCGCAAGCCUGACGGAGCAAUACCGCGUGAGGGAGGAAGGCUUUUGGGUUGUAAACCUCUUUUUUCAAGGAAGAAGAAAGUGACGGUACUUGAAGAAUAAGCAUCGGCUAACUCCGUGCCAGCAGCCGCGGUAAUACGGAGGAUGCAAGCGUUAUCCGGAAUCAUUGGGCGUAAAGCGUCCGCAGGUGGCCCGUCAAGUCUGCUGUCAAAGACAGAAGCUCAACUUCUGGUGGGCAGUGGAAACUGGCGAGCUAGAGUACGGUAGGGGUUGAGGGAAUUCCCAGUGUAGCGGUGAAAUGCGUAGAUAUUGGGAAGAACACCAGUGGCGAAGGCGCUCAACUGGGCCGUAACUGACACUCAGGGACGAAAGCUAGGGUAGCGAAAGGGAUUAGAUACCCCUGUAGUCUUAGCUGUAAACGAUGAACACUAGGCGUUGCUUGUAUCGACCCGAGCAGUGCCGUAGCCAACGCGUUAAGUGUUCCGCCUGGGGAGUACGCACGCAAGUGUGAAACUCAAAUGAAUUGACGG
This 834-nucleotide ribosomal RNA is filed under the name uncultured bacterium. Its description in RNAcentral is "bacterial SSU rRNA". It matches the Rfam family "Bacterial small subunit ribosomal RNA", at positions 45 to 916 of the family's 1533-position model. The record is from RNAcentral.